GACGAGCCACACGAACGUUAUUCGGAAUUACUGGGCUUAAAGGGUGCGUAGGCUGCGCGGAAAGUUAGGUGUGAAAUCCCUCGGCUCAACCGAGGAACUGCGCCCAAAACUGCCGUGCUCGAGGAAGAUAGAGGUAAGCGGAACUUACGGUGGAGCGGUGAAAUGCGUUGAUAUCGUAAGGAACACCUGUGGCGAAAGCGGCUUACUGGGUCUUUUCUGACGCUGAUGCACGAAAGCUAGGGGAGCAAACGGG
Molecule: ribosomal RNA, 253 nt
Filed under: uncultured bacterium
Lineage: Bacteria
Description: partial 16S ribosomal RNA
Rfam family: Bacterial small subunit ribosomal RNA
Source: RNAcentral